RNAcentral lists this ribosomal RNA (238 nucleotides) under uncultured bacterium. RNAcentral's name for it is "partial 16S ribosomal RNA". It matches the Rfam family "Bacterial small subunit ribosomal RNA", at positions 96 to 334 of the family's 1533-position model. The record is from RNAcentral.
UGGCGGACGGGUGAGUAACGCGUGGGUAACCUGCCUCAUACAGGGGGAUAACAGUUAGAAAUGACUGCUAAUACCGCAUAAGACCACAGCACCGCAUGGUGCAGGGGUAAAAACUCCGGUGGUAUGAGAUGGACCCGCGUCUGAUUAGGUAGUUGGUGGGGUAACGGCCUACCAAGCCGACGAUCAGUAGCCGACCUGAGAGGGUGACCGGCCACAUUGGGACUGAGACAUGGCCCAA